GAUGAACGCUGGCGGCGUGCUUAACACAUGCAAGUCGAACGAAGAUGCCGGAGUGCUUGCACUUUGGCAGACUGAGUGGCGGACGGGUGAGUAACGCGUGGGUAACCUGCCUUAUACAGGGGGAUAACAGUUGGAAACGACUGCUAAUACCGCAUAAGCGCACGGUAUCGCAUGAUACAGUGUGAAAAACUCCGGUGGUAUAAGAUGGACCCGCGUCUGAUUAGCUUGUUGGUGAGGUAACGGCCCACCAAGGCGACGAUCAGUAGCCGGCCUGAGAGGGUGAACGGCCACAUUGGGACUGAGACACGGCCCAAAACUCCUACGGGAGGCAGCAGUGGGGAAUAUUGCACAAUGGGGGAAACCCUGAUGCAGCAACGCCGCGUGAGUGAAGAAGUAAUUUCGGUAUGUAAAGCUCUAUCAGCAGGAAAGAAAAAUGACGGUACCUGACUAAAGAAGCCCCGGCUAACUACGU
RNAcentral lists this ribosomal RNA (472 nucleotides) under uncultured bacterium. Its description in RNAcentral is "bacterial SSU rRNA". It matches the Rfam family "Bacterial small subunit ribosomal RNA", at positions 28 to 506 of the family's 1533-position model. The record is from RNAcentral.